RNAcentral lists this ribosomal RNA (517 nucleotides) under uncultured bacterium. RNAcentral's name for it is "bacterial SSU rRNA". It matches the Rfam family "Bacterial small subunit ribosomal RNA", at positions 553 to 1070 of the family's 1533-position model. The record is from RNAcentral.
AUUGGGCGUAAAGCGAGCGCAGGCGGUUAGAUAAGUCUGAAGUUAAAGGCUGUGGCUUAACCAUAGUACGCUUUGGAAACUGUUUAACUUGAGUGCAAGAGGGGAGAGUGGAAUUCCAUGUGUAGCGGUGAAAUGCGUAGAUAUAUGGAGGAACACCGGUGGCGAAGGCAGCCUCCUGGGAUAACACUGACGUUCAUGCUCGAAAGCGUGGGUAGCAAACAGGAUUAGAUACCCUGGUAGUCCACGCCCUAAACGAUGUCGAUUAGCUGUUGGGCAACUUGAUUGCUUAGUAGCGUAGCUAACGCGUGAAAUUGACCGCCUGGGGAGUACGGUCGCAAGAUUAAAACUCAAAGGAAUUGACGGGGACCCGCACAAGCGGUGGAUGAUGUGGAUUAAUUCGAUGCAACGCGAAGAACCUUACCUGGUCUUGACAUGUACGGAAUCCUCCAGAGACGGAGGAGUGCCUUCGGGAACCGUAACACAGGUGCUGCAUGGCUGUCGUCAGCUCGUGUCGUGA